GUUUUGAUGGCGUGGGUUGGCAGGCUCCGUGCUCGUGCAUCGAACUGUCGACUGCCCAUCGUCCUCAGUCUAUUCCCCGAGUGCAGUCAUUGCCUCGCGGGUUGUCUCGGUAUCCUGUGUUGCUUACCUACGGAAUGGAAUUCGACCGUAUCGUUGCCCCUAUCCGCCCGAUGCCCUCUGUGGGUGUGGGGUGGACGUCAGGCACGCUACGUGUUCCUAGCAUGCCUCGCCUUGUUGCGGGGCUGCUUAGGCCCACGGAGACGUUGCCCGUUCUCUCGGAUGCGGAACGUCAUGCAUGGGUGCGGGGUCUCGGCCUCUGCUUGCCCAAGCUACGCAUUUGUCCCUUGACACGAACGACUGCCGCGGCCGUCUUGAUCCCGUCGUAGCCUACGUGCCGCCCGGGGCUCAUGCGGCCGUCGGCGUC
RNAcentral lists this unclassified non-coding RNA (424 nucleotides) under Toxicodendron nodosum. Its description in RNAcentral is "partial external transcribed spacer". Lineage: Eukaryota; Viridiplantae; Streptophyta; Magnoliopsida; Sapindales; Anacardiaceae. The record is from RNAcentral.